Molecule: ribosomal RNA, 253 nt
Filed under: uncultured bacterium
Lineage: Bacteria
Description: partial 16S ribosomal RNA
Rfam family: Bacterial small subunit ribosomal RNA
Source: RNAcentral
UACAGGGGUCUCAAGCGUUGUUCGGAUUCAUUGGGCGUAAAGGGUGCGUAGGUGGCGCCAUAAGUCGGGUGUGAAAUCUCGGGGCUUAACUCCGAAACUGCAUUCGAUACUGUGGUGCUUGAGGACUGGAGAGGAGACUGGAAUUCAUGGUGUAGCAGUGAAAUGCGUAGAGAUCAUGAGGAAGACCAGUGGCGAAGGCGGGUCUCUGGACCAACACUGACACUGAGGAGCGAAAGCCAGGGGAGCAAACGGG